This is a long non-coding RNA of Phyllostomus discolor (pale spear-nosed bat), 1076 nucleotides long. RefSeq lists it as uncharacterized. The transcript is spliced from 2 exons. The record is from RefSeq and is a predicted model, not a curated record. NCBI's taxonomy places the organism in Eukaryota, Metazoa, Chordata, Mammalia, Chiroptera, Phyllostomidae.
AGCUGCACAUAUAAAUGUUCUUUGAAAAGUCUGCUUCAAGAUGUUAAUGGAAGUAUUGAUUUCCCCCUUUUUUUUCUUUUGGAUGAUGUCUGUUUACUGGGCUACCUCCUCAUCUCUCUGCUCCCUUCAGCGUCGUGUCAGGGGCAAGUGCCCAAACCAAGGCGGCUAAGCGGGUGUCAAGCCACUUGCAGAAACAGAGAGAAGACUUAACUAAUGGCAUAGGUCUCCUAAGUCAAUGGACCCUGUCUCUUCUAAUUUCAUUAUCAAUUCACCACGGGCACCUGACAGACUCAGGAUGUUAAGUCAAAUUCAAAAGCUCAAAAAUGAAAAGGGGAAAAAAAAUCCAAUUUCAGAGUCAGGUGAAAACAUCAUAAUUCAGAGAAAAUCUUUAUUAUUGAUUUAUAGCUACAGACUCUUGUCCAAAGGUUUCCUCUUUAAAUUAAGAAUACUAAUGAUUUUCCACCCUGAAAUUAAGAAUCCGAAAGCUGCACAAAUUCAAAACAGACACUAAUUGUUGUACUUCAUCCAGGAAGGGCCCAGUGCACGGAUGCCUAAGCUUGUUUCCGUCAUCGUGUGGUUGGUGACAAGCCACGGUGUUCGGGAGAAUCGCAUGCGUCCCUGGGAGUCAUUCCUUUGUGUGCCAAGAGGCCAUGGAAUUUGAAAUGGAACAUCCUGUUUGGGGAGGCAUCUAUACACGCAGCCCAAUUGCUCUCUGAUAAACACAUUUGUUUGGGACAAAAGUUCCUGCGUAAGUAGUUUUGGAGACUUAAUUGUGCUAUGGAAGAGGUGACACAGGCCCCGCGUGGAGAACGCCAGGCAGCCUGGGGCCUGCGCAAGGCUCUGAAUCAGUUCCAGAGGAAGCACAGGCUUGCCAGGACAGCCACAGGGACUUCAAACAGAAUUGAAACCAGGAAAAAGGAAACAGUUAUUUGUGGGGAACAGGAAAUAGGAUUUAGAAGACACUGACAUAGAUACAGUCAUUUUACUACUGAGUAUUUUAUUUACCCUGUGCUAUUGUAUGUAUUUUGGUAAGCCAUGUUAAAAUAUGGUGGCAUGAAUGAAUAAAUGAAGUCUCU